RNAcentral lists this ribosomal RNA (481 nucleotides) under uncultured bacterium. RNAcentral describes it as "bacterial SSU rRNA". It matches the Rfam family "Bacterial small subunit ribosomal RNA", at positions 11 to 520 of the family's 1533-position model. The record is from RNAcentral.
GUUUGAUCCUGGCUCAGAACGAACGCUGGCGGCGCGCCUAACACAUGCAAGUCGAACGGCCGAUGGGGCUUGCUUCAUCGGCAGUGGCGGACGGGUGAGUAACGCGUGGGGACCUGCCUUUCGGCUCGGGACAACCGUGGGAAACUACGGCUAAGACCGGAUACGCCCUGGGUGCAAAUCCAGGGGAAAGAUUUAUCACCGAAAGAUGGACCCGCGUCCGAUUAGCUAGACGGUGGGGUAAUGGCCUACCGUGGCUUCGAUCGGUAGCCGGCCUGAGAGGGUGGCCGGCCACACUGGGACUGAGACACGGCCCAGACUCCUACGGGAGGCAGCAGUGGGGAAUCUUGGACAAUGGGGGCAACCCUGAUCCAGCGACGCCGCGUGGGUGACGAAGGCCUCGGGUUGUAAGCCUUUGUCCGGGACGAGUGAUGACGGUACCCGGACGAAGAAGCACCGGCUAACUCCGUGCCAGCAGCCGCGG